GACGAACGCUGGCGGCGUGCCUAAUACAUGCAAGUAGAACGCUGAAGGAGGAGCUUGCUUCUCUGGAUGAGUUGCGAACGGGUGAGUAACGCGUAGGUAACCUGCCUGGUAGCGGGGGAUAACUAUUGGAAACGAUAGCUAAUACCGCAUAAUAGUAGAUGUUGCAUGACAUUUGCUUAAAAGUUGCAAUUGCAUCACUACCAGAUGGACCUGCGUUGUAUUAGCUAGUUGGUGAGGUAACGGCUCACCAAGGCAACGAUACAUAGCCGACCUGAGAGGGGGAUCGGCCACACUGGGACUGAGACACGGCCCAGACUCCUACGGGAGGCAGCAGUAGGGAAUCUUCGGCAAUGGACGGAAGUCUGACCGAGCAACGCCGCGUGAGUGAAGAAGGUUUUCGGAUCGUAAAGCUCUGUUGUAAGAGAAGAACGAGUGUGAGAGUGGAAAGUUCACACUGUGACGGUAUCUUACCAGAAAGGGACGGCUAACUACGUG
Molecule: ribosomal RNA, 495 nt
Filed under: uncultured bacterium
Lineage: Bacteria
Description: partial 16S ribosomal RNA
Rfam family: Bacterial small subunit ribosomal RNA
Source: RNAcentral